This 448-nucleotide ribosomal RNA is filed under the name uncultured bacterium. RNAcentral's name for it is "partial 16S ribosomal RNA". It matches the Rfam family "Bacterial small subunit ribosomal RNA", at positions 329 to 793 of the family's 1533-position model. The record is from RNAcentral.
GGCCAGACUCCUACGGGAGGCAGCAGUGGGGAAUAUUGCACAAUGGGGGAAACCCUGAUGCAGCGACGCCGCGUGAGUGAAGAAGUAUUUCGGUAUGUAAAGCUCUAUCAGCAGGGAAGAAAAUGACGGUACCUGACUAAGAAGCCCCGGCUAACUACGUGCCAGCAGCCGCGGUAAUACGUAGGGGGCAAGCGUUAUCCGGAUUUACUGGGUGUAAAGGGAGCGUAGACGGCAUGGCAAGUCAGAUGUGAAAGCCCGGGGCCCAACCCCGGGACUGCAUUUGAAACUGUCAGGCUGGAGUGCAGGAGAGGUAAGUGGAAUUCCUAGUGUAGCGGUGAAAUGCGUAGAUAUUAGGAGGAACACCAGUGGCGAAGGCGGCUUACUGGACUGUAACUGACGUUGAGGCUCGAAAGCGUGGGGAGCAAACAGGAUUAGAUACCCGAGUACG